Molecule: ribosomal RNA, 443 nt
Filed under: uncultured bacterium
Lineage: Bacteria
Description: partial 16S ribosomal RNA
Rfam family: Bacterial small subunit ribosomal RNA
Source: RNAcentral
CCUACGUGUGGCUGCAGUGGGGGAUAUUGGACAAUGGGGGGAACCCUGAUCCAGCGACGCCGCGUGAGUGAAGAAGUCUUUCGGUAUGUAAAGCUCUGUCAGCCGGGAAGAAAGCAAUGACGGUACCUGACCAAGACGCCCCGCCUAACUACGUCCCCGCAGCCGCGGGAAUACGGAGGGGGCAAGCUUUAUCCGGACUUACUGGGUGUAAAGGGAGCGUAGACGGCUGUGCAAGUCUGGAGUGAAAGGCGGGGGCCCACACCCCGGACUGCUCUGGAAACUGGAGGGCUGGAGUGCAGGAGAGGUAAGCGGAAUUCGUAGUGUAGCGGUGAAAUGCGUAGAUAUUAGGAGGAACACCAGUGGCGAAGGCGGCUUACUGGACUGUAACUGACGUUGAGGCUCGAAAGCGUGGGGAGCAAACAGGAUUAGAUACCCUUGUAGUC